RNAcentral lists this ribosomal RNA (253 nucleotides) under uncultured bacterium. RNAcentral's name for it is "partial 16S ribosomal RNA". It matches the Rfam family "Bacterial small subunit ribosomal RNA", at positions 524 to 776 of the family's 1533-position model. The record is from RNAcentral.
UACGUAGGUGACAAGCGUUGUCCGGAUUUACUGGGCGUAAAGAGCGCGCAGGCGGUCGAUCAAGUCGAGUGUGAAAGCCCCCGGCUCAACUGGGGGGGGUCAUUCGAUACUGAUCGACUCGAAGGCAGGAGAGGGUAGUGGAAUUCCCGGUGUAGUGGUGAAAUGCGUAGAUAUCGGGAGGAACACCAGUGGCGAAGGCGACUACCUGGCCUGUUCUUGACGCUGAGGCGCGAAAGCUAGGGGAGCAAACAGG